Molecule: ribosomal RNA, 232 nt
Filed under: uncultured bacterium
Lineage: Bacteria
Description: partial 16S ribosomal RNA
Rfam family: Bacterial small subunit ribosomal RNA
Source: RNAcentral
CGGACGGGUGAGUAAUGUCUGGGAAACUGCCCGAUGGAGGGGGAUAACUACUGGAAACGGUAGCUAAUACCGCAUAACGUCGCAAGACCAAAGAGGGGGACCUUCGGGCCUCUUGCCAUCGGAUGUGCCCAGAUGGGAUUAGCUAGUAGGCGGGGUAAUGGCUCACCUAGGCGACGAUCCCUAGCUGGUCUGAGAGGAUGACCAGCCACACUGGGACUGAGACACGGUCCAG